AAGGCCGUAGCGCAGAGGUCGUCGCGCCCGCUCGUCAAGACGGAGGACGCCGGUUCGAAUCCGGCCGGUCUUG
Molecule: transfer RNA, 73 nt
Filed under: Streptomyces sp. ISL-44
Lineage: Bacteria; Bacillati; Actinomycetota; Actinomycetes; Kitasatosporales; Streptomycetaceae
Also listed under: 2 other names
Description: tRNA-Asp
Rfam family: tRNA
About the family: Transfer RNA (tRNA) molecules are approximately 80 nucleotides in length.
Source: RNAcentral